AUACGGAGGGUGCAAGCGUUAUUCGGAAUCACUGGGCGUAAAGGACGCGUAGGCGGGUUGGCAAGUCAGAUGAGAAAUCCUACAGCUUAACUGUAGAACUGCAUUUGAAACUGCUAACCUAGAGUAUGGGAGGGGGAGAUGGAAUUAGUGGUGUAGGGGUAAAAUCCGUAGAUAUCACUAGGAAUACCGAAAGCGAAGGCGAUCUCCUGGAACAUAACUGACGCUAAGGCGUGAAAGCGUGGGGAGCAAACAGGAUUAGAUACCCGAGUAGUCC
RNAcentral lists this ribosomal RNA (274 nucleotides) under uncultured bacterium. RNAcentral's name for it is "partial 16S ribosomal RNA". It matches the Rfam family "Bacterial small subunit ribosomal RNA", at positions 523 to 796 of the family's 1533-position model. The record is from RNAcentral.